GAUUAGUGGCGAACGGGUGAGUAACACGUGAGUAACCUGCCCUUGACUCUGGGAUAAGCGUUGGAAACGACGUCUAAUACCGGAUACGACCUGCCCCGGCAUCGGGUGUUGGUGGAAAGAAUUUUGGUCAAGGAUGGACUCGCGGCCUAUCAGGUAGUUGGUGAGGUAAUGGCUCACCAAGCCUACGACGGGUAGCCGGCCUGAGAGGGUGACCGGCCACACUGGGACUGAGACACGGCCCAGACUCCUACGGGAGGCAGCAGUGGGGAAUAUUGCACAAUGGGCGAAAGCCUGAUGCAGCAACGCCGCGUGAGGGACGACGGCCUUCGGGUUGUAAACCUCUUUUAGCAGGGAAGAAGCGAAAGUGACGGUACCUGCAGAAAAAGCACCGGCUAACUACGUGCCAGCAGCCGCGGUAAUACGUAGGGUGCAAGCGUUGUCCGGAAUUAUUGGGCGUAAAGAGCUCGUAGGCGGUUUGUCGCGUCUGCUGUGAAAACCCGAGGCUCAACCUCGGGCCUGCAGUGGGUACGGGCAGACUAGAGUGCGGUAGGGGAGAUUGGAAUUCCUGGUGUAGCGGUGGAAUGCGCAGAUAUCAGGAGGAACACCGAUGGCGAAGGCAGAUCUCUGGGCCGUAACUGACGCUGAGGAG
Molecule: ribosomal RNA, 649 nt
Filed under: Microbacteriaceae bacterium N15
Lineage: Bacteria; Bacillati; Actinomycetota; Actinomycetes; Micrococcales; Microbacteriaceae
Description: bacterial SSU rRNA
Rfam family: Bacterial small subunit ribosomal RNA
Source: RNAcentral